Molecule: long non-coding RNA, 3395 nt
Organism: Corvus hawaiiensis (hawaiian crow)
Lineage: Eukaryota; Metazoa; Chordata; Aves; Passeriformes; Corvidae
Exons: 5
Source: RefSeq, a predicted model, not a curated record
AACAUCGGGCUGAGGAUUAUCAUUCCUUGCAUGCCUGGCUCAGAUGGAGAACACUGGAGCUGUAAACUACCUCAUGCUUUUUCCCACAGCCUUAUUCUAAUCUUCUUUCUGGGUCAAUUCCCAGGAGCCUCUCCUCUUUCUCUGGAGUGCUCUGGCAAGUGAGACUCUUGCAAAUAAAGCAAAGGAUCCGCUGAAUGCACAGCCAUGCAUAAUUUAGGAUUGCUGGAGCCUUCUGCGCGUCUCAUCACAAAAUGGCAUUCAGAAGAAAGGUACAUUCAGAGGCUGGUUUUGGCUUGGAAGGCACCACCCGGCAAUGAGAGGCUCCAGCUCUUCCUAUGGGUGUGAUAAUUCACAGUUUUAAUAAGUUUUUUCCUGUCCUGAAGGAAUGUUACAGCAGUCAGUUGACUGCAGCUCCUUCAUGCCUCAAGGAAGAGAAACCCACCCAUCUUCCAGGCUGGUGCGCCCCUCAUGCUUCCGAAACUGCUGCCAGGAGUGACAGCUUGGUCUCACAGCACUUCCCUGCAAUUUCUGGAGAGCCCAGGAUCCUGAAAUGUCCACGUAACAGCAUUAAAACAAGAUGAAUAUAGCUCCAUACCCUGGAUCUGUUUAACCUGAUAAAUAGUUUCAGUUAAUGGACAGCAAAAGGAAUGAUGCUCAGUAAAUUUGAUUUUAUGAGCCUUUCACUUAUUUGCUGUACCCAUUAGGUCGGAAGUUAGGUAAUGGUAAGUGUCCAUUAGUGCAUUAGCUCAGUGAUGAGGGAGCUGAGUUGGAAAAAAAAGAAAAUGGUGGAAAACCCCCUGAAGCCAUGUGCAUUUAUUAAGCCUGUUCGUUAGUGACGGUAAUGGACACUGAGCUGGAGAGACGUCGGAGUUUGGUUCAGGUGGAAAGUACAGCAACCCCUGAAUCCCCUUCUUCUUCCCCACAGCAUCUGGUCCGUGUUCCUCCUGCCAUGGGGAGCCUGGGAGAGCCACAGGGGCUGUAAGGCAGGGAUGGGGCUGCUCGUGUUCUCCUGGGAAAGUCUCUGUGCAGUGCUGGUGGCAACCUGGGACUGCUCCUUCCAAUCAUGAAUACAUGACCCAGCUCGUAACAACCAAAAUAACCAUUUCAUUGAUAACCCUUUCUUUUACUCACUUCGUUUGAAUUUUUUUCUCUGCCCAGGCAAAUUAGUUUUUAAAAUCUCUUUUCUCAAUUUUUUUGCUACCCUGGGAUUAUUUACACACCCCACAAAAAGCUGUUUACUCUUCUGGGUAAUUCAAUGAACAUUCACUUGCUUUGAAUUAAUAUGCAGCGUUGUUCCAAGCGCAGGCAAUUUACUGGUAAUUGGAACAUCUCCUUACCCUGGAAAAAACAUCCAGCCUCCCAAGUUAGUUUUCACAAGUGGCAUUAAUGCAGCAAGAGAGCCAAAUUCCCUUGUUUAUGUGCUAGCAAGGAAAAAUGGGGCUUGUUAGCAAUUAGAAGGUAAAUUUUCUUCCCCUCCCUUCCUGAUGGUGCCUCCCCUGUAGCUGUGAGGGCUGUUCAGGGUGACUGGAGUCUGUGUCCCCCCAUUGCCAGGGCUGGGUGAAUUCCUGCUGUGGUGUUUAAGCAGUUUGCCCGUGAUGUGUUGCAGGUGCUGGAAGGAGUUUGGUGGGUAAAAGGGGUUUGCAGCAGUGUGUGGAGGAGCAGGGUGCAAAGAACCUUUUCAGCAGCAGUUGAUCUCACCUGGAUGCACAUCAGAGGACAAAUGCAGUUCCCUGUGAAGCCAUCACCAAUCGGCACCUAUUGGCAGGUCACCAGUUCAGGUUUUGUGCCACGAAGGAAACAGAUGCUGCUGUAUCCUGACAAUACAUGGCUUACAGAGCCACUGACUCAGCAGGAACCAAAUCCUCAGCUCCCACAGCACCCCUGGCUCCUGGCUGGCCACCCUGGGCACUGCCAGCAAAGCCACCUGAGCAGGCAAGGACGGGAAUGCCCAAUGAUGGGGCCAUUGGCAGGACUUUAUCCUCAUGCCAAGGUCUUUUUCCUCUGCCAGUUCUCAGUGGAGCUUUCCCUGCACACCCCCUUGCCCGCUUGUUGUUAGAGCUUGACACAAGCACGGGCGUCUCAGUUGGUCACUUGGUCCCUGUCUCCUCCCAGAGCAGGUCCUGGCUGUGGGACCACUGCCAGUGGCAGGGCUGGGACCAGCUCACACGCAUUCCUUGCAGGUCUGAGGUCCCUUGGCAGAGCUCUGCAAGCAGCUGCUUCCCUCUCUCUCUGCAUUAAGAUUAAUGUUUGAACAGCACUUGUCCCAUCCAUCUCUCUGGGAGCUUUCCUCCAAACAAAUAGCAGGAGGAGGCGGCAUCUAUUUGAGAAUGACAGGGCUUCAAUCUAUUUAUUCCACAGGUAACCGCUCUCUCCUGAAAUGUCAGAUUGACUCUUCAUCUUCCAUGGGCUGCGGUGCGAGUGCACCGUGGCGGGUACGGGCCCGCCUCCCUUCAUUUGCAAGGAAAAAGAGUCACUGAGAUUGAUUGCACAAUUGAAUAUGCAGCAUGGUAAACAGUUAUUUGGAAAUUAUUGUUUGUGUUUAAUUAUGACAUACAGAAGUUUAACAGUCAUAAAUUUUUCAUUGGAGUUGGAAUGCAAAUGAAAGCAUUAACAUGCAUCAACGAAAGACACAAAUCAGCAUUUCCCACAGCGAAUCACAGGAUCUGGGGCUGGCAGCCCCACGCUGUUCAUGAGCAUCCCCCUCCUCAGCAUCAUGAGCCAGAGCUUUCAGUGAGCUGAGAGUGGCUUAGAAACCAGGAAUUAGUUGUUUCUGCUUGGUUUGUUCUCUGUAUAAAGUCCUUAAGGCAGAGCAGUGGCUAUAACAGGCAGCGAGGGCUUAACUCCCCCUUAGACUUUUGGGGUGCAGCCAGGGUGGAGAAGGGACUGUGGGUGUAACCUCCAUCCUGGCAAAAUAGGAAAACUUUCUGGUUUCAUGAAAGUGCCUUGUCAGCACUUUUGCUGGUCUUUCCAACAAUUGUCAGAUGAAUUUUCCCCAUCUUUUCUCUCUUUUUAUUCUUUUCUUAUCUCUUUCUUCUCCUUCCCACAGCACAUGCACAUGGACACAUGCUGUGGCUCUUGGCAAUUGAAGAAAAUGAAAAAUAGAUGUGUAGAGGGAAAAAAGUUUAAUAGCAAGAAAAGAUGUGCUAGAAAAGAGGGCGGUAAUAAAAGAAUCUAAUUAAAAUGGAAAAUUUCCAUGGGAAAAGGAAAAGGUGUUGGGGGAGGCAGAGGUAGAACAUUGUUUCCAUCCAGCCUACUCAUCUGGGGGAAGAAGCAGCAUUUCCCAGCUGAUUAAAAACUGGUAUGAUAAUGAAAGAUGAGUAUUUUUCUGUCUUUGUAUUUCUGAAGCAAAUCUCUCAUGGGACAAAACAUAUCACUCAGUGAGUUGCAUAAUGUUU